RNAcentral lists this ribosomal RNA (253 nucleotides) under uncultured bacterium. Its description in RNAcentral is "partial 16S ribosomal RNA". It matches the Rfam family "Bacterial small subunit ribosomal RNA", at positions 524 to 776 of the family's 1533-position model. The record is from RNAcentral.
UACGAAGGGGGCUAGCGUUGUUCGGAAUCACUGGGCGUAAAGCGCACGUAGGCGGAUUGUUAAGUCAGGGGUGAAAUCCUGGAGCUCAACUCCAGAACUGCCUUUGAUACUGGCGAUCUUGAGUCCGGGAGAGGUGAGUGGAACUGCGAGUGUAGAGGUGAAAUUCGUAGAUAUUCGCAAGAACACCAGUGGCGAAGGCGGCUCACUGGCCCGGUACUGACGCUGAGGUGCGAAAGCGUGGGGAGCAAACAGG